CACGUAGGGCGCGAGCGUUGUCCGGAAUUAUUGGGCGUAAAGAGCUCGUAGGCGGUCUGUUGCGUCCGCUGUGAAAACUCGGGGCUUAACCCCGAGCCUGCAGUGGAUACGGGCAGACUAGAGGUAGGUAGGGGAGAAUGGAAUUCCCGGUGUAGCGGUGAAAUGCGCAGAUAUCGGGAGGAACACCGGUGGCGAAGGCGGGUCUCUGGGCAGUAACUGACGCUGAGGAGCGAAAGCGUGGGGAGCGAACAGG
Molecule: ribosomal RNA, 253 nt
Filed under: uncultured bacterium
Lineage: Bacteria
Description: partial 16S ribosomal RNA
Rfam family: Bacterial small subunit ribosomal RNA
Source: RNAcentral